RNAcentral lists this long non-coding RNA (322 nucleotides) under Carica papaya (papaya). RNAcentral's name for it is "long non-coding RNA (CPAP_LNC000585)". The record is from RNAcentral. Lineage: Eukaryota; Viridiplantae; Streptophyta; Magnoliopsida; Brassicales; Caricaceae.
UCACGUCAUUUGAAAUUUGCUCCAAGUCACCUUUUGAUGCUCUUUAAGUAUCUUAAGUGUUUUUAGCCUUGUUUGCAUCAAACUUUGCAGAAAGAGUAGAGAUAAGACAUUACCUUUUUGAAAGUGCAUUAGCUACCAUAAUUUUCUUUUCUUUGCUUAUAUUGGAUCACAUAUGGGAAGGACUCUAUGAAUUUCACCCAUUUUGCAUGUCAUUUAUUAAGCUUGUCUUGCCCUUUUAAAUGCCUCAAAGAUUCAUGAUCAGUGUGAAUCACAAAUUCUUUUGGUAACAAAUAAUGCUGCCAUGUCUCUAAUGCUCUUACCA